CCUACGGGGUGCAGCAGUGAGGAAUAUUGGUCAAUGGUCGCGAGCCUGAACCAGCCAAGUAGCGUGAAGGAGGACUGCCCUACGGGUUGUAAACUUCUUUUAUCAGGGAAUAAAGUCAGGCACGUGUGCCUGGUUGUGUGUACUUGAUGAAUAAGGAUCGGCUAACUCCGUGCCAGCAGCCGCGGUAAUACGGAGGAUCCGAGCGUUAUCCGGAUUUAUUGGGUUUAAAGGGUGCGUAGAUGGGUUGUUAAGUCAGUGGUGAAAGUUUGGGGCUCAACCGUAAAAUUGCAAUUGAUACUGGCAGUCUUGAGUACAGUUGAGGUAGGCGGAAUUCGUGGUGUAGCGGUGAAAUGCUUAGAUAUCACGAAGAACUCCGAUUGCGAAGGCAGCUUACUAACCUGCCACUGACAUUGAUGCUCGAAAGUGUGGGUAUCAAACAGGAUUAGAUACCCGUGUAGUC
This 460-nucleotide ribosomal RNA is filed under the name uncultured bacterium. RNAcentral describes it as "partial 16S ribosomal RNA". It matches the Rfam family "Bacterial small subunit ribosomal RNA", at positions 338 to 795 of the family's 1533-position model. The record is from RNAcentral.